UGUUUCAUGCAUGUGUCCAAAGAUUCGAUAGGAUGGAUGAAAAAAUUUUAGUUGGGUAACUAAACAGGGCUUAAGACGAAUGCCUUAGAACUCCUUGAUAGUAUGGCCAAAAAAAUUAAUGCACACUACAACAAAUAUCUCAAGCUUGCUUCGGUCCCAUUAGCUCUAUAGUGUCAUUAUUUUUCAAGAAUAUCAUUUGCGCCAUACGUCAAUCAUCGAUCCAAAUCUUUGGGGCUAAGGCACUUGUGGCCUGUGACUAACUCAUAAUGUGUAUCCCGCUGCAAAGCACACGUUAUUCACCACACUUGUGUUAGUCAAUCACCAAAACCACCAAGAUACCACAUUAGGGCCUAAAUGUGUGCACCAUUGAAUCAUCAGGUGGCACAUACGAAGGAAUUUUGUGAAGUCUAUGAGGGCCAUCCAAGCCUAAAGUGCAAGUUGGGAGAGUAUUCUUAUUGUUUACCUAGUGUUCUCGACUUAAAUUUUCCUCAAUAUGCUAUUCAAGGUUUGUUACUCUUGGUAUUUUGUGGCACCUAGACAGUCCAACAAAAGAUUAGGUGACAUUCCCCGUGAAGUUUCUUAUGGGUAGGCUUCAAUUGGUGUUUAGUUUGACCCACCAUUCCAGAGUGGAGAAGGGGUAUUCACUAGUGGAGCUUUAAGACUUCAUGACUCAAUGGGGAACAAAACUGACUCUUGGUGACUCUUUGGUGCUCCAACAUGGAUUAGGGUGGCAUGGAUUAUGUGCUCCAAUGUGGUACAAGGGUAGAGAAUUCGGUUGUCACUUUACCUUUCUUUCAUUCUUGCAUUACUUUCAUGCCAUAGCUUUCUACUUUACUUUUGUUUUGUGCAAGUUUAAUUGUGUGAAAACUAGGAUUCCAUGAUAGAGUGUGUUACUAAGAGCCUUAUUCUUAGUGCUAACUUUACUAAGGACAUAUUGGCUUGAUGGCCCUAAGGACUAGGAGUCUCCUUUAUAGUCUUUUAUUGUUCUAGGAGUCUCCUUGCAAGUGGUUGAGUAUAAUUGCAUAGGCUAAGGUUUGUUUGCACUUAACUUUUUAGAGCCCAAUUGACCCUGCCCUCCCCUCUUGCCUCUUAGGCCAUUCGAACAAAAGGUUUAUAGUCAAUCCAUGUGGGCCCAAUCACUUGAAUAUGGCUUUAUCUAAGUAUGUAUUUCUCAAACAUAUAUUGUUUUGUCUCUUUGUUCAAACUAUGCCUGGGUGUACCAUGCUUAAAACUACACCGCAAUGAAAAUGAAGAAGACCUAGGAAUUUUUUUCACCAAUUACAAAUCAAAGCUCAGUUGUUCCAAUGGUUAAUAGAGGGAGAAAAGGAUGCUUUGACAUGACUCCCCUAAGGAGAAGAAAAAGAGGAAGACUUUUAUAUAUUGGCACAUGAAGCCCCUUGUGGAUGCAUAUUAGUAAAUGGCAGCAUGGCCGUCAUUGCUAUCAUCCAGAGCAAAGAAGUGGUUAACCAUGCACAUUUAUCACUUCGAAAUGUGGUCGAGAGUUCUUUUGUAGUUUCAUUUUUAAAUGAAGUGGUGCAUUCUCUUUCAAAUGAAGUGGUGUAUUCUUCCAAAAUUGUCUAGUCAUCCAAUAGAGAAGCAAGAACAAAUAUAAUUACCUAUAUAGCUCUUCACAACUUUAUUA
This is a long non-coding RNA of Sorghum bicolor (sorghum), 1642 nucleotides long. RefSeq lists it as uncharacterized. The transcript has 2 exons. NCBI's taxonomy places the organism in Eukaryota, Viridiplantae, Streptophyta, Magnoliopsida, Poales, Poaceae. The record is from RefSeq and is a predicted model, not a curated record.